AGCAGCCGCGGUAAUUCCAGCUCCAAUAGCGUAUAUUAAAGUUGUUGCAGUUAAAAAGCUCGUAGUUGAAUUUCGGGAUCAGUUGGUCGGUCGUGCCUCGGUACGUACUGGUCAAAUUGAUUCCUACCUUCUGACGAACCACGAUGUCAUUAAUUUGGUGUCGCGGGAAAUCAGGACUGUUACUUUGAAAAAAUUAGAGUGUUUAAAGCAGGCUCGCGCUUGAAUACAUUAGCAUGGAAUAAUGAAAUAGGACGUUUGAUUCUAUUUUGUUGGUUUCUAGGAUCGACGUAAUGAUUAAUAAGGAUAGUUGGGGGCAUUAGUAUUCAAUUGUCAGAGGUGAAAUUCUUGGAUUUAUUGAAGACUAACUACUGCGAAAGCAUUUGCCAAGGAUGUUUUCAUUAAUCAAGAACGAAAGUUAGGGGAUCGAAGACGAUCAGAUACCGUCGUAGUCUUAACCAUAAACUAUGCCGACUAGGGAUCGGAUGAUGUUAAUUUUUUAAUGACUCAUUCGGCGCCUUAC
This 520-nucleotide unclassified non-coding RNA is filed under the name uncultured Glomus. RNAcentral's name for it is "SSU rRNA". It matches the Rfam family "Eukaryotic small subunit ribosomal RNA", at positions 569 to 1091 of the family's 1831-position model. Lineage: Eukaryota; Fungi; Glomeromycota; Glomeromycetes; Glomerales; Glomeraceae. The record is from RNAcentral.